AGUGAACGCUGGCGGUAGGCCUAACACAUGCAAGUCGAACGGCAGCACAGUAAGAGCUUGCUCUUACGGGUGGCGAGUGGCGGACGGGUGAGGAAUACAUCGUAAUCUACUUUUUCGGGGGGGAUAACGUAGGGAAACUUACGCUAAUACCGCAUACGACCUACGGGUGAAAGCAUGGGAUCUUCGGACCGUGCGCGAUUGAAUGAGCCGAUGUCGGAUUAGCUAGUUGGCGGGGUAAAGGCCCACCUAGGCGGCGAUCCGCAGCUGGUGUGAGAGGAGGGUCGGCCGCACUGGAAGGGAGCCACGGACCAGGGUCCUGCGGGACGCAGCAGUGGGGAAUAUUGGGCAAUGGGCGGAAGCCUGGUCCAGCCGUACCGCGUGGGUUAAGAAGGCGUUCGGGUUGUAAAGCCCUUUUGUUGGGAAAGAAAAGCAGCAGGUUGAUACCCCGCUGUUGUGACGGUACCCAAAGAAUAAGCACCGGCUAACUUCGUG
This 492-nucleotide ribosomal RNA is filed under the name uncultured bacterium. RNAcentral describes it as "partial 16S ribosomal RNA". It matches the Rfam family "Bacterial small subunit ribosomal RNA", at positions 30 to 507 of the family's 1533-position model. The record is from RNAcentral.